RNAcentral lists this ribosomal RNA (268 nucleotides) under uncultured bacterium. RNAcentral's name for it is "partial 16S ribosomal RNA". It matches the Rfam family "Bacterial small subunit ribosomal RNA", at positions 524 to 792 of the family's 1533-position model. The record is from RNAcentral.
UACGAAGGGGCUAGCGUUGUUCGGAAUUACUGGCGUAAAGCGCAUGUAGGCGGAUAUUUAAGUCAGGGGUGAAAUCCCGCAGCUCAACUGCGGAACUGCCUUUGAUACUGGGUAUCUUGAGUAUGGAAGAGGUGAGUGGAAUUCCGAGUGUAGAGGUGAAAUUCGUAGAUAUUCGGAGGAACACCAGUGGCGAAGGCGGCUCACUGGUCCAUUACUGACGCUGAGGUGCGAAAGCGUGGGGAGCAAACAGGAUUAGAAACCCCGGGUA